UCUCUGCGGUCAGACUCCAGGUUGCUCAUUGAUUUAUUUUUGUUAUUUGUUGGUUUAAAUAUCGUAAAAAUAAAUGUGGCUGCGGCGCGUCGGACAGAGGAGCCAAUGUGGCAGAAAGCAGCAGAAAGCCCCCCUUAUUCUGCCCUAAUGCCCCCCGGGGGUCUGGCUGCACACCGGCUCACUUCACCUGAACCGGCAGCCCGGUCUGUGGCGCUGAAAUCUCCAUGGAGCCCUCCUGACCCGUACGGAAGCCCAUUAGUGCCACUGGCAGGAUAUAUGAGCUUCUGGCCUAUUUAAAGCCCUGGAUUCAUGUGGAAGUCUGUCUCCUCUGGUUCUGUCUGAUCUGCUGGGGUUCCAGAGUUCAUUCCUGUUUCUUUACAACAGAAUCAACUGAAUUGAACAAACAGCAAGCAGUUUCACUUCCUGGUUCACCAACAGGGUCACCUGCAGUGACUCCGAGCCGCCAGCGGGGGCAGCGCUCCGACCGUUGGUCGGUCUCUCCAGCGUUGCCUCAUUUCGUUGCCAUUGAUUGCUGAACCCUCCUCCGUGAGCCAGCUGACCCAAACCCAAAUGACCAGGAAGGAGUCCUUGGUCAGCUGUUGCUACGGCAACGUCUGAAAGCAGAAACGAUAACCUGCAGGCAUUUCUGCUGCGGUACCAGACGAUGCUUCUGCUGCUGGCAGGAAUGGCCUUCCGUACCUGGCUGUGUUUCUGGAGAGAACGCAGUGAGGAGCAGCUCACCUGGUGGCCCCGCCCCCUGCACAAGCCCCGCCCCCAGUCAGCUUGGUUUGUAGUUUUGGACCAGCCGCCUCUGGUUCCUCUAUUAGCCGGUAAGCAGUUCUGGUUCUGGCUGCUGUUGGCUCAGUGGGUUAAGGUUAGUCUCCCUCCUCUUCCUCACCUCAGGUUUACUCUGCCUCGCUCUUCAUCAUCACUGUGACCUCAGCUUCCUGUUCUGACCAACAACCAGCAGAUCAGCCAGAGAAACACGAAGAGUCCAGAACCCUCAGCAACCGACCGAACUCUAAUCCUGGAUUUCAGCACCUUGUUGCCCAGCUCCCAGCUGUCCCAGUAACCCUCCAGCCUCCCAGUCCCGACCCAGUUCCACUGACAGCCUUCCAGCCGAUGCUUUUCACACCAGUACGUCACUCCCAGUUCAGAUGAAACCAGUGUCCUUCCCAGCUCAGCCAUAAAUUCCUCACACAGCCGACAGUUUCCAUCUGCAGUCCUUACAGGAGGAAACCGAUCAGGUGUGUUGGUCACUUCCUGUCUGGGUCUCUGUCCUGCUACCUCUGCUGAGCGUGGCUCCGUUCUCCCGGUAGUCCUGG
Molecule: long non-coding RNA, 1325 nt
Organism: Xiphophorus maculatus (southern platyfish)
Lineage: Eukaryota; Metazoa; Chordata; Actinopteri; Cyprinodontiformes; Poeciliidae
Exons: 4
Source: RefSeq, a predicted model, not a curated record